UAUUUAUUAGAUAACAGACCAAUAUUCCUCGUGUCUGUUGUGGUGACUCAUAGUAACUGAUCGGAUCGCAUGGCCUUGUGCCGCGACUAACCAUUCAAGUUUCUGACCCAUCAGCUUUCGAUGGUAGUGUAUUGGACUACCAUGGCUUUCACGGGUAACGGAGGAUUAGGGUUCGAUUCCGGAGAGGGAGCCUGAGAAACGGCUACCACAUCUAAGGAAGGCAGCAGGCGCGUAAAUUACCCAAUCCUGACUCAGGGAGGUAGUGACAAGAAAUAACGGGUCGGGGCAUUCGCCUCGGGAUUGCAAUGAAUCGAAUUUACACCCCUUAAUGAGGAUCAAUUGGAGGGCAAGUCUGGUGCCAGCAGCCGCGGUAAUUCCAGCUCCAAUAGCGUAUAUUAAAGUUGUUGCAGUUAAAAAGCUCGUAGUUUGAUUUCUGGACGGGCGCCAACACCCGCUUGUUUAGUGUGGAGGCGGCGCCCGCCCAUCCUUCUGUUAACGCCACCGGCAUUCAUUUGCUGGCGGCGGGCUCAGAUAUUUUACCUUGAGAAAAUUAGAGUGUUUCAGGCAGGCUUGCGC
Molecule: ribosomal RNA, 576 nt
Filed under: uncultured eukaryote
Lineage: Eukaryota
Description: SSU rRNA
Rfam family: Eukaryotic small subunit ribosomal RNA
Source: RNAcentral